GACGAACGCUGGCGGCGUGCCUAAUACAUGCAAGUCGAACGCAGUGGGGACGGGUGCGUAACACGUGGGUAACCUCCCCUCAGAGGAGAUAACCCUUGGAAACAGGUGCUAAACCGCUACUGAUUGAUGGACCCGCGGGGCAUUAGCUAGGUGGGGAGGUAACGGCGCACCAAGGCCACGAUGCAUAGCCGACCUGAGAGGGGGAUCGGCCACACGGGGACUGAGACACGGCCCAGACUCCUACGGGAGGCAGCAGUAGGGAAUCUGCGGCAAUGGACGAAAGUCUGACGGAGCAACGCCGCGUGAGUGAAGAAGGCUUUCGGAUCGUAAAACUCUGUUGUUAGAGAAGCGGUAUCUAACCAGAAAGCCACGGCUAACUACGUGCCAGCAGCCGCGGUAAUUC
RNAcentral lists this ribosomal RNA (403 nucleotides) under uncultured bacterium. RNAcentral describes it as "partial 16S ribosomal RNA". It matches the Rfam family "Bacterial small subunit ribosomal RNA", at positions 28 to 526 of the family's 1533-position model. The record is from RNAcentral.